AGCAGCCGCGGUAAUUCCAGCUCCAAUAGCGUAUAUUAAAGUUGUUGCAGUUAAAAAGCUCGUAGUUGAAUUUCGGGGUUAGUAGGCUGGUCGUGCCACAGGUAUGCACUGGUCUUACUGAUUCCUCCUUCCUGAUGAACCGUAAUGCCAUUAAUUUGGUGUUGCGGGGAGUCUGGACUGUUACUUUGAAAAAAUUAGAGUGUUUAAAGCAGGCUAACGCUUGAAUACAUUAGCAUGGAAUAACGAAAUAGGACGUUCGAUCCUAUUUUGUUGGUUUCUAGGAUUGACGUAAUGAUUAAUAGGGAUAGUUGGGGGCAUUAGUAUUCAAUUGUCAGAGGUGAAAUUCUUGGAUUUAUUGAAGACUAACUAACUGCGAAAGCAUUUGCCAAGGAUGUUUUCAUUAAUCAAGAACGAAAGUUAGGGGAUCGAAGACGAUCAGAUACCGUCGUA
RNAcentral lists this ribosomal RNA (450 nucleotides) under uncultured Glomeromycotina. Its description in RNAcentral is "SSU rRNA". It matches the Rfam family "Eukaryotic small subunit ribosomal RNA", at positions 569 to 1022 of the family's 1831-position model. The record is from RNAcentral. Lineage: Eukaryota; Fungi; Glomeromycota.